UACGUAGGGGGCAAGCGUUGUCCGGAUUUAUUGGGCGUAAAGAGCGCGCAGGCGGCUGGUCAAGUCCGAUGUGAAAGCUCCCGGCUUAACUGGGAAAUUGCAUCGGAAACUGAUCGGCUGGAAGGUGGGAGAGGGUAGCGGAAUUCCCGGUGUAGUGGUGAAAUGCGUAGAUAUCGGGAGGAACACCAGUGGCGAAAGCGGCUACCUGGCCCAUUCUUGACGCUGAGGCGCGAAAGCUAGGGUAGCAAACGGG
Molecule: ribosomal RNA, 253 nt
Filed under: uncultured bacterium
Lineage: Bacteria
Description: partial 16S ribosomal RNA
Rfam family: Bacterial small subunit ribosomal RNA
Source: RNAcentral